UACGGAGGGGGUUAGCGUUGUUCGGAAUUACUGGGCGUAAAGCGCGCGUAGGCGGACUAUUAAGUCGAGGGUGAAAUCCCGGGGCUCAACCCCGGAACUGCCUUCGAUACUGGUAGUCUGAGUUCGAGAGAGGUGAGUGGAAUUCGAGUGUAGAGGUGAAAUUCGUAGAUAUUCGGAGGAACACCAGUGGCGAAGGCGGCUCACUGGCUCGAUACUGACGCUGAGGUGCGAAGCGUGGGGAGCAAACAGGAUAGAUACCCCGGGUAGUCC
Molecule: ribosomal RNA, 270 nt
Filed under: uncultured bacterium
Lineage: Bacteria
Description: partial 16S ribosomal RNA
Rfam family: Bacterial small subunit ribosomal RNA
Source: RNAcentral